Molecule: unclassified non-coding RNA, 362 nt
Filed under: soil metagenome
Description: partial contains 5.8S ribosomal RNA, internal transcribed spacer 2, and large subunit ribosomal RNA
Rfam family: 5.8S ribosomal RNA (bases 1-120)
Source: RNAcentral
GAUGAAGAACGUAGCGAAAUGCGAUACGUAAUGUGAAUUGCAGAAUUCAGUGAAUCAUCGAAUCUUUGAACGCACAUUGCGCCCGCCAGCAUUCUGGCGGGCAUGCCUGUCCGAGCGUCAUUUCAACCCUCAGGGUCCCCCCGCCUCGCGCGGUCGGAGCCUGGUGUUGGGGAUCGGCCCGCCCCGCGCGGCGCCGUCCCCCAAAUACAGUGGCGGUCCCGCCGCAGCCUCCCCUGCGCAGUAGUUAUCAACUCGCACUGGAGCGCGGCGCGGCCACGCCGUAAAACCCCCGACUUUCAGAAAGUUGACCUCGGAUCAGGUAGGAAUACCCGCUGAACUUAAGCAUAUCAAUAAGCGGAGGA